Molecule: ribosomal RNA, 441 nt
Filed under: uncultured Sphingobacteriales bacterium
Lineage: Bacteria; Pseudomonadati; Bacteroidota; Sphingobacteriia; Sphingobacteriales
Description: bacterial SSU rRNA
Rfam family: Bacterial small subunit ribosomal RNA
Source: RNAcentral
GUGGUUUAAUUCGAUGAUACGCGAGGAACCUUACCUGGGCUUAAAUGUAGAGUGCAUUUUUUAGAGAUAGAAAUUCCCUUCGGGGCUUUCUGCAAGGUGCUGCAUGGUUGUCGUCAGCUCGUGCCGUGAGGUGUCGGGUUAAGUCCCAUAACGAGCGCAACCCUUAUCGUUAGUUGCCAUCUGGUAAUGCAGGGGACUCUAGCGAAACUGCCACCGUAAGGUGAGAGGAAGGUGGGGAUGACGUCAAAUCAGCACGGCCCUUAUGUCCAGGGCUACACACGUGUUACAAUGGUCGGUACAGAGGGCAGCUACCUGGUGACAGGAUGCUAAUCUCGAAAACCGGUCUCAGUUCGGAUCGAAGUCUGCAACUCGACUUCGUGAAGCUGGAUUCGCUAGUAAUCGCGCAUCAGCUAUGGCGCGGUGAAUACGUUCCCGGGCCUU